UUGUAAAGCGGUUACAGAAAAAAACCAUUUCUGCCCUUGCUAAAUGGGGCGGGAUAUAGUACAAUACCGUUAGCUCCGGCGGUGACGUUUGAGGUUACGGUCCCGCGCAACGGCAGCCCGUGAACCAUGUCAGGCGGGGAACCGAGCAGCAUUAAGCGGUAGCUCCAUGUGCCGCGGGUAAGUCGUAUCCGAGCCAUCGCCGGAGUGUUUUACAA
RNAcentral lists this signal recognition particle RNA (215 nucleotides) under Clostridiales bacterium. Its description in RNAcentral is "signal recognition particle sRNA large type". It matches the Rfam family "Bacterial large signal recognition particle RNA". From Rfam's summary of the family: The signal recognition particle (SRP) is a universally conserved ribonucleoprotein involved in the co-translational targeting of proteins to membranes. Archaeal SRP consists of a 7S RNA and homologues of the eukaryotic SRP19 and SRP54 proteins. In most bacteria, the SRP consists of a 4.5S RNA and the Ffh protein (a homologue of the eukaryotic SRP54 protein). Lineage: Bacteria; Bacillati; Bacillota; Clostridia; Eubacteriales. The record is from RNAcentral.